RNAcentral lists this ribosomal RNA (440 nucleotides) under uncultured bacterium. RNAcentral describes it as "partial 16S ribosomal RNA". It matches the Rfam family "Bacterial small subunit ribosomal RNA", at positions 338 to 795 of the family's 1533-position model. The record is from RNAcentral.
CCUACGGGUGGCAGCAGUGGGGGAUAUUGCACAAUGGGGGGAACCCUGAUGCAGCGACGCCGCGUGGGUGAAGAAGCGCCUCGGCGCGUAAAGCCCUGUCAGCAGGGAAGAAAAUGACGGUACCUGCAGCAGACGCCCCGGCUCACUACGUGCCCGCCGCCGCGGUAAUACGUAGGGGGCAAGCGUUAUCCGGAUUUACUGGGUGUAACGGGGGCGCAGACGGCGAUGCAAGCCAGGAGUGAAAGCCCGGGGCCCAACCCCGGGACUGCUCUUGGAACUGCGUGGCUGGCUUGCAGGAGGGGCAGGCGGAAUUCCUGGUGUAGCGGUGAAAUGCAUAGAUAUCACGCAGAACUCCGAUUGCGAAGGCAGCAUACCGGCGCCCAACUGACGCUGAAGCACGAAAGCGUGGGUAUCGAACAGGAUUAGAUACCCUAGUAGUC